ACGCUCGACAGUGUCAGCAGCCGCGGUAAUACGAAGGGGGCUAGCGUUGUUCGGAUUUACUGGGCGUAAAGGGCGCGUAGGCGGACUGAUAAGUCAGGGGUGAAAUCCCAAGGCUCAACCUUGGAACUGCCUUUGAUACUGUUUGUCUUGAGUUCGAGAGAGGUAAGUGGAACUGCGAGUGUAGAGGUGAAAUUCGUAGAUAUUCGCAAGAACACCAGUGGCGAAGGCGGCUUACUGGCUCGAAACUGACGCUGAGGCGCGAAAGCGUGGGGAGCAAACAGGAUUAGAUACCCUGGUAGUCCACGCCUUAAACGAUGGAUGCUAGCCGUCGGGCAGCUUGCUGCUCUGUGGCGCCGUUAACACAUUAAGCAUCCCGCCUGGGGAGUACGGUCGCAAGAUUAAAACUCAAAGGAAUUGACGGG
Molecule: ribosomal RNA, 422 nt
Filed under: uncultured bacterium
Lineage: Bacteria
Description: bacterial SSU rRNA
Rfam family: Bacterial small subunit ribosomal RNA
Source: RNAcentral